CAGAGGAUGAAAAGAAAAGGAUCCAGAUAUCCAUCAUCCAGCAGCUCUGACGCAGUGUUUGGAGAUGGAGCAGACAACUUGUGACAAAGAAGACAAAUGCUUCGAUCUCAGGAUGCUAGAGAAGGAAGAUACAAAGACGAGGCCCGCUCUGGUGUCAUUAAACUGUCCUCCUAGCUCUCUCCUUCUAUAAGAGAGAUGAGCUAGAAAGGUGGGCUACAGCCUUCUGUUACCCUCUGCCAAACAUAACCCUGAAAUCUGUGGCACAUCUUUGCAUUUUAUCCCCCCAAACCCUUGUGCACAAGAGCCCCUGUGCCUUGUGCUGUCUUUCCCUCUUACUGAGGAAUGCACUAUGUGAAUAUUUUAAAUGUAGGCUAAAAGGGAAGACACUGAGAAGUUGGAGCACACUUUCUAAACUGCCACUUCCUGUCCCCACCCUAACCGAAUUUUUGUCUUUCCGUCCUGAGGUUCUGUCUCCUUUUUGCAAUUUUUGCAAUGAAAUCCUGAGAUUGAAACCUGGUGUAUGCUACUUCCCCCUACCAUGAACUUCCUGCAUCUUUGGGCAUCCCGCUCUGAACUUCUGGGUUUGCACCUACAACACAACCUGCUCAUCUUCACAUACAGACUUUGGGAGACAGAUGUGACGGCAUCAAGUGUGAGGGCUACUCUCAACCUCGAUCAGACAAGCUCCUAUUUGUAGUGGGCAGGACUUGAUGAAGAAUUUUGCAACUGAUCAAAGUGCUGAGAAGAGGGCCUCUGAGAUGGCUCAGUGAGGAAAGACACUUGCUACCAAGCCUGAAAACCCGAUUUCAACUCCUGGGACUUACAUAAGACUAACUCCUACAGGUUGUGUUCUGACUUUCACACAUGCAGUGUAAAGUACACACACACACACACACACAGAGAGAGAGAGAGAGAGAGAGAGAGAGAGAGAUGGAUUCUAGGAAUAAGUAACUGCUUAGUCUCAGCCCUACACAGAACAUCUAUAUAACUCCUUCUAAGGCCCACACACAUAACAGAAGAAAAGGCAGAAAGAAUGUAAGAGCUGGAAAAUGGAAGGAGUGAUGUGAAUCUGUUUUCUGGCUACAACUUUGCUAUACUCGUGAACUUAUAGCAGCAGUGGUUAGCUGUGUAAGAUUAGGCCUGUCAUAAAUGAUUUAGGAAAAACUUAUACAUGAUAAGCUGUCAAUAGUUGCUGGGGGAGAGGGAGUCAUAAUCCUCAGCGGUACAGUCAUUGGUAACAGAAUAGUUGGUGUUCCAUUGGCACAGUCCCCUGGUCUAGUUAACGACCCCCUCCCACCCACACUCAUGCAAACAAUCCUCAUACAGUAGACAUGCGUGUGCGCGCGCGCACACACACACACACACGCACACACGCACACACACACACACACACACACAAAAGACAAGAAGGUAGGAGAGGUACUUUUUGGAGAGAAGAAAGAAUUUAGCAAAAGGGGACAUGAAGAGGAGAGGAUGAUGAGAGAGUAUAACCAAAGCACUAUAGAUGUUUGUAUGUCUGUAAAGGGACAAAUAAAUUAAAAACAAAAGAAAGAAGUAAAAAUAGGGUUAAAACUACGGAUCAACGGUAGUGGCCCUGGGUUCAAUUUCCACUACAAGAAAGCAAAUAGAUAAAGUCUCGCAGAAAUCUUAUGAGCUGGCUACCAUCAGAGGAAACAGAAGCAUCGUAAUUUAAUGACUUGCCCAAAGAGACUCAGCUGGGAUUUGGGACCAGAGCAUCUGAAUCCCGAGUCUAUAUAUCAUGGCCUCAAUUUCAUGCUCUAACCCUCCCAGCUGUUGUGAGGUGGUGUGUAGGGAGGAGAACAGUUGCCUUGAAUGACUCAAAGAAGAGCCUCUGCCUGGUCCAAAGAAUGCUGCCCUGUAGAAGGCUUCAAAGGAAAACAGUUUCACACUCCCAUUUCCGCUCUUUGUAGCUGCUGUUCCUACAUGCAUUUCUUCUGGAUUCUGGCCCCAUUUAGGCUUUUUACCUUUUGAUGUUUCCUAGUGGAGGAAGAGGAGAGGAUAUUAUUAUUUGGUUUGUUUUGGUUUGUUUUGUUUUGGUUUCAUUUAUUUCUUUUACUUUAUUUAUUCACUUUACAUCCUUAUCACAGCCCCUCCCUCCUCUCCUCCAGGUCUUGCCCUCCUACCCUCUGCCCCCUUUACUCCCUCUCUUUCUCCUCAGAAACGAGGAGCUGUGUGUUCCCCCCCACCCAGCCACCAACCUGCUGUGGCACAUCAAGUCACAUCAGGACUAAGAGCAUCCUCUUCCACUGAGGCUGGACAAGGCAGUCCAGCUAGGGGAAAGUGAUCCAAAAGCAGGCAACAGAGUCCAUAUCAGAGACAGCCCCCUCUGUAAUUGCUAGGGGACCCACAUGAAGACCAAGCUGCUCAUCAACUACAUACGUGUAGGGGCCUAGGUCUAGUCAAUGCACGCUCUUUGGUUGGUGGUUCAGUCUCUGUGAGCCUCUGGUCCUCAGUUACUUGACUCUCUUGGUCUUCUUGUGGCAUUCUUGUCCCUUCCAGGUCCCUCUAUUCUUCCCCCAACUCUUCCACAGGGCUCCCCAUGCUCUGCUUAAUGUUUGGCUGUUGGUCUCUGCCUUUGUUUUGAUACGCUGCUAGGUGAAGCCUCUCAGAGGACAGUUAUGCUGGUUUCCUGUCUGUAAGCAUAGUGGAAUAUUCUUAACAGUGACAGGGGUUGGCUCGCUCCCAUUGGGUGGGUCUCAGCAAACCUUGUUGGCAGGGUAAAUUCUGUGUCGAAGGUUUUGUGGGUGGCUUGGUGUGCCCCUCCCUCCACUAGAAGUCCUGCCUGGCUAUAGCAGGUAGCCACUUUCAGCCUCCAUAGUCCGUACUGCCAGGAGUCUUAGUUAGAGUCACCCCAUAUCCUGGGGUGAGGAUACAAUCACCUCUAUUACAGAGUCCAUGACCAAAACUAGACCCUUUUAAAACCAUUUUUCCCUGAGAAAUCAGAGAGGAGGGAAAGACUCAGGUACUUAGAAGAUUGCCUUUAUUUAUUUUUUUUUUAAGUUCAGUUAUUUUAUUUUUCUAGAACUGACAAUGACAAGUGUGGAGUCACCUAUCCACAUAACCUUCUGUAGUAAAGAGAGAGGCUUCAUGAACGGUAAAGAGAAGAUAGACCCAUUUCAUUGGCCCUUGGUACCUCAACUUAGCAAAGAGGGGCAUCAAGGAAGGGGUGCCAGAAACCAACCUCAGAAAAUAGGCCUGCUGUGUUAGUGAGGCUGCCCCAUGAAAAGAAUGAGACCUCCAAUAAGGUCACUACCGCAGUCACUGUGUUGAUGCCUUAUCUUGAUGCUACCAUGACAUACCCGACCACAGCAGCUAAAGGAAAGAAGGGCUUACGUUGGCUCACAGCUUGGGGAUAUAGUCCAUGACGGUGUGUGAAUGUGGGAGGGGGCAUCUUGGGGCUUGAUCCUGAGGCAUCCAGUCACACUGAACCUUCAGCCAAGAAGCAGAGCAUGUUAAACACUUUCCUACAGCUUGCUUUCUCGUUUCCAUUCUCAGUCCCAGAGUCCAAUCUAUGAAAUGGCACCAUCCACAUUUGGGAUGAGUCUUUCCACCUCUAUGUACUCUAGACAUGGCCAAAGACUUGUUUCCGUGGUGAUUCUAAACACCGUCAAGUUAACAAACAAGAUGGAUAAUGUUAGUCACCAUUUUGGGGAAGGUUCUUGGCCUUGGGAGGUUCUGAUGGCUUCUGAUCCCAGCCCUCCUCAGAUUGUAUAGCAGCUCAUUUGUCUUCUAGUUUGCACCCUUCCCAGGCACUGCUCCGAGCUGUAUUAGUAAAAAUUUGGGCAUCAAGCAACAGAAACCAACUUGGAUUAGUUUAAUAAGGAGAAUGGCUGUUUAGAAAGGGACUAGACCACUUUCAGAAUCAAUGAGAAGGAUUAACAAGCUCCAUGUGGAAACUGAAGCUGGCAGAGGCCAACCUAGCUCAUACCACAAGAAAUCUGUAAGAUGUUCUUAUAGCCCCCAUUGCCUGCUGCCACACUGGCCUCUUUAUGGGGGGACCCUUGCCACCUCUAUUACCUCUCACUUCCAAGACUGCUGCAAUGAAUAACCCUCUGAUGUACCCAUGAAGCUUUCUGUGACAUCUCUAGAUCUGAAGUCCUAGGCAGGCACAACAACUGACUAUACUUCCAUCCCCAUUAAUCUGUGAGGACUAAAGAAAAGGAUGCUCUAUGCCAACUCACUUCCAUAGGUCCUAGAAAGGGCUUCUAUACUUCUCCAUCAUCAUUUCUCACAAAACAGAAAGGCGGCUGCAAAUGCAGCGCAAACAGGAAGUCCUCCCCUACUGUAGAUGCCACUGAAGGGGAGGUAAAAAUUGCUUUGUUUAAUGGAGAUAGACAGUUCAGGUCUCUCCUGUGGCUUCUCCACGGCACGGGAAUGCAUCUCAUUUUCAGCUGAGCCAUUUUAAAAAUAGCCUUUGUCACACGCAGUCAAAAUAACUGCCUUAUUUCCAUCUACCCACCUGUGAUCAUGGGCACUCCCAGUGCCACUGUUCUCCCAAGGGAUAUUGGGGAAUCUGUGGAGUGCAGUUGCACCUCUUGUCUAGGGUUUUGCUUUCUGAAGUCUCAGUUACCUGAGUUCAACCAUGAUCUGAAAACAUUUAAUGGGAACUUCUAGAAAAAAAAUUUCAUAAGUUUUACAUUCUGUUCCCUCCAAAGUAAUAUGACAAGAAGCUCCUCUGUCCUCCUUGCCUUGCUUAGCAUAAGAAUUGUCCCUUUGUCCAGCACCCACCCUCUAUAUAUUACCCACCUAUCACUUAGUAUGAGUCUAAGAUAUUAGGUCUAAUGUCACAUUACCAUAGUGCUUAUAUUAAGUAACCCUUAUUUUACUUAAUGAUGGCCUAGGAAUGCAAACAUAACAGUACUGGCCAAUCUUCCAUGGUGUAUUACCACAAUUGUUCUUUUUAUUGUUAGUUAUUGUUAUUAAUCUCUUGCCCUUCCUGAUUUAUGAAUUAAACUUGAUCAAAAGA
Psammomys obesus (fat sand rat) is the source of this 4987-nucleotide long non-coding RNA. RefSeq lists it as uncharacterized. NCBI's taxonomy places the organism in Eukaryota, Metazoa, Chordata, Mammalia, Rodentia, Muridae. The transcript has 3 exons. The record is from RefSeq and is a predicted model, not a curated record.